UACGGAGGAUGCAAGUGUUAUCCGGAAUCACUGGGCGUAAAGCGUCUGUAGGUGGUUCGAAAAGUCCACUGUUAAAGAUUGAGGCUUAACUUCAAAAAUGCCGUGGAAACUUUCAAACUAGAGUAUGGUAGGGGUAGAGGGAAUUUCCAGUGGAGCGGUGAAAUGCGUAGAUAUUGGAAAGACCACCGAUGGCGAAGGCACUCUACUGGGCCAUUACUGACACUGAGAGACGAAAGCUAGGGGAGCAAAUGGG
RNAcentral lists this ribosomal RNA (253 nucleotides) under uncultured bacterium. RNAcentral describes it as "partial 16S ribosomal RNA". It matches the Rfam family "Bacterial small subunit ribosomal RNA", at positions 524 to 776 of the family's 1533-position model. The record is from RNAcentral.